AACGAACGCUGGCGGCAGGCCUAACACAUGCAAGUCGAACGCUCCGCAAGGGGAGUGGCGCACGGGUGAGUAACACGUGGGAACCUACCUUCUGGUACGGAACAACCAAGGGAAACUUUGGCUAAGACCGUAUACGACCUCCGGGUGAAAGAUUGAUCGCCGGAAGAGGGGCCCGCGUCCGAUUAGGUAGUUGGUGAGGUAACGGCUCACCAAGCCUUCGAUCGGUAGCUGGUUUGAGAGAAUGACCAGCCACACUGGGACUGAGACACGGCCCAGACUCCUACGGGAGGCAGCAGUGGGGAAUCUUGGACAAUGGGCGCAAGCCUGAUCCAGCCAUGCCGCGUGAGUGACGAAGGCCUUAGGGUUGUAAAGCUCUUUUGCCGGGACGAUAAUGACGGUACCCGGAGAAUAAGUCCCGGCUAAC
This 424-nucleotide ribosomal RNA is filed under the name uncultured bacterium. Its description in RNAcentral is "bacterial SSU rRNA". It matches the Rfam family "Bacterial small subunit ribosomal RNA", at positions 29 to 501 of the family's 1533-position model. The record is from RNAcentral.